UGAUUCCUCCUUUUCCACUACCUUGAACAAGACUCUGUACUCGUGGAGAUGAAGUCAGCUUCACAUUGGUAGAAGAAGGCAAUGAGUAGCGCCUAGGUAGACCAUUCUUCUCGUAUGCAUCUUGUCCAAACCUCGGCGAGACUUGACCUCGUGCCUUAGCCUUGGCAGACUCAGUUGCUGCCAUGUAACUGGGGACCUUUGUUUCAUUAGUUAUGCCUACAUCUUGUUCAUCAUGCUUUGCAGGUAAAGAAGCUCUUCUCUUGUUAAACUUGGAGUUCUCAUUGCCAUUUUGAUCAUCCUUAGACUUUAUGACACUAGGGACAGCUGCAUCUCGAUCGUCAUGCAUUGGAGGUAAAGAAGCUCUUCUCUUGCUAACUUUAUGGUUCUCAUCGCCAGAUAGAUCAUCCUUAAUAUUCUUAUCCACAACCAGAAUAUUCUCAUUUUCCUCACCAAAAAUUUUAGGUUGCCCAUCAG
Molecule: long non-coding RNA, 474 nt
Filed under: Coffea arabica (coffee)
Lineage: Eukaryota; Viridiplantae; Streptophyta; Magnoliopsida; Gentianales; Rubiaceae
Description: long non-coding RNA (CARA_LNC007971)
Source: RNAcentral